This 355-nucleotide long non-coding RNA is filed under the name Manacus vitellinus (golden-collared manakin). RNAcentral describes it as "lncRNA (ENSMVIG00005012461.1)". The record is from RNAcentral. Lineage: Eukaryota; Metazoa; Chordata; Aves; Passeriformes; Pipridae.
UGACAGAUCCACUUGAAACAACCAUUUCAUACCUUGGAAAAUGGUAAUGGGAGGAAGUGAUCUCCUGAUCUCCAGCUGUGGUUCUGUGUGCUGCUCUGAUCCCACCGAUGACUGGAUUUGAGAGUAAAGCACGGUUGGUUCUGCCUCUGCCCUGUGUCGGAUUUCACCCUUCUGCCCUUGCUCUGAAGCCUUCUUUCUUGGACAGUAUGUGGGAACUGUAGCCACACAGAAAACUUGCAGGCUUUGCUUGGACAUACAUACCAGAUAUAGACCCACUCCUGCAGAUCUGUCUCCAUGAAUCCUCAUUUUUUUCAAGGUAAAUAAAAAAGAAAGAGAACUGCUGAUGAUAAUUCUU